GUAACUAGAAAUGACAAACCAAUAUAAACAGGCUGUAGACUGCUAACAACUGAAGGUAGAUCACCAUACUAAGGACCGUGAGGACCAAAAGAACACUUUUGGACCACUUGCUG
Long non-coding RNA from Haliotis rubra (blacklip abalone), 113 nucleotides. RefSeq lists it as uncharacterized. NCBI's taxonomy places the organism in Eukaryota, Metazoa, Mollusca, Gastropoda, Lepetellida, Haliotidae. The transcript is spliced from 4 exons. The record is from RefSeq and is a predicted model, not a curated record.